RNAcentral lists this ribosomal RNA (738 nucleotides) under alpha proteobacterium SCGC AAA163-D10. Its description in RNAcentral is "bacterial SSU rRNA". It matches the Rfam family "Bacterial small subunit ribosomal RNA", at positions 89 to 864 of the family's 1533-position model. Lineage: Bacteria; Pseudomonadati; Pseudomonadota; Alphaproteobacteria. The record is from RNAcentral.
UACUUAGUGGCAGACGGGUGAGUAACAUGUGGGUAUCUGCCCUUUGGCCUGGAAUAACACGAGGAAACUUGUGCUAAUACCGGAUAAGUCUUUACGGAGAAAGCUUUAUGCACCAUUGGAUGAGCCUGCACUUGAUUAGUUUGUUGGUGGGGUAAUGGCCUACCAAGACUGUGAUCAAUAGCUGAUUUGAGAGGAUGAUCAGCCACAUUGGGACUGAGACACGGCCCAAACUCCUACGGGAGGCAGCAGUGGGGAAUCUUGCACAAUGGAGGAAACUCUGAUGCAGCGAUGCCGCGUGAGUGAAGAAGGCCCUUGGGUUGUAAAGCUCUUUCGUCGGGGAAGAAAAUGACUGUACCCGAAUAAGAAGGUCCGGCUAACUUCGUGCCAGCAGCCGCGGUAAUACGAAGGGACCUAGCGUAGUUCGGAUUUACUGGGCUUAAAGAGUUCGUAGGUGGUUGAAAAAGUUGGUGGUGAAAUCCCAGAGCUUAACUCUGGAACUGCCAUCAAAACUUUUCAGCUAGAGUAUGAUAGAGGAAAGCAGAAUUUCUAGUGUAGAGGUGAAAUUCGUAGAUAUUAGAAAGAAUACCAAUUGCGAAGGCAGCUUUCUGGAUCAUUACUGACACUGAGGAACGAAAGCAUGGGUAGCGAAGAGGAUUAGAUACCCUCGUAGUCCAUGCCGUAAACGAUGUGUGUUAGACGUUGGAAAUUUAUUUUCAGUGUCGCAGCGAAAGCGAUAAA